Long non-coding RNA from Hevea brasiliensis (rubber tree), 533 nucleotides. RefSeq lists it as uncharacterized. The transcript is spliced from 2 exons. The record is from RefSeq and is a predicted model, not a curated record. Lineage: Eukaryota; Viridiplantae; Streptophyta; Magnoliopsida; Malpighiales; Euphorbiaceae.
GCUGAAACACUUACCUGCACUAUCCAAACGAGGACGAGAAGUAGAUGAACAACAUUACAGCAAGUGAAGUAGCAGGACUCGGGUGGGUACAUUACUCCUAUUUUGCACCAUUGCUGCCCCAAAGAUUGACUCUUUUAUCUCUAAUUCGCAGAGAAGCUCCCUGGGGAUGUGCAAGACAUGUGGCGAUUUAAGGAUGAUAGCAUGCUCAAAAUGUAAAGGAAUUGGAUCAGUCAAGGAAGGUGGGCCUUUAAGUUUUAACAUGUUGGAUGAUUUGUAUCAGUCCAUUGGUGGAGUAUCAAAGGUGAAAACCUUUAAAUGUACUAAAUGUGAAGCUAGAGGUCAUUUCUGCUGCCCUGGCUGCUCUAAAGUGCCAUCAGAUUAAUUAAUAUGUAGAUCUUGUAAACAAUUGCUCUCUUGUGCUUCUUCCAGAACUUGGUUAUAUUCAAGAUUUCCUCCUUGCAGUGAUUAUAAUUACUGGACUCUGGAUUUUAGUUGGACUAUAUAGAGAAAAGAAGUUCAUAAAUCUUCCCAUA